This 317-nucleotide RNase P RNA is filed under the name Thermoplasmata archaeon. RNAcentral describes it as "RNase P RNA component". It matches the Rfam family "Archaeal RNase P". From Rfam's summary of the family: Ribonuclease P (RNase P) is a ubiquitous endoribonuclease, found in archaea, bacteria and eukarya as well as chloroplasts and mitochondria. Its best characterised activity is the generation of mature 5'-ends of tRNAs by cleaving the 5'-leader elements of precursor-tRNAs. Lineage: Archaea; Methanobacteriati; Thermoplasmatota; Thermoplasmata. The record is from RNAcentral.
GGGAGUAGGUGGACGGUUGACGGUGAAACCAAAAAAUGUUUUUUUGGUUUCGCUGAGGAAAGUCCUCUCUCACUCUGAAUCAGGAAACCGUGCAAACGGUUAAGGCGAGAGCCUUAGCAGAGGCACAGAAACGACACAGCCCUUGGAUAAUGCGAUGAUUCACAUCUUGGUGAUGAGGUCUCCGAGGGAUUUGAUGAAACGGCCAAUCUGCUCCUGGAGCAAGCCCAAACAUUCGGGAUCAGCUAUUCAGACUGCCCGAGGGUAGGGCGCAUUAGACGAAUACCGUCAGAACAGAAAGAGGCUUACGGCCUACACCC